UCAUUUUUGAGGAUUUGAUCCUGGUCCAGGAUGAACGCUGGCGGUGUGGAUAAGGCAUGCAAGUCGAACGGUGUCUGUGCGGCACAUAACUCGCAAUAUAAUUAUUGCUGGUUGUGUGCUGUACAUACAUAGUGGCGAACGAGUUAGUAACACCUUGGUACGUACCCCAAAGUCGGGCAUAGCUUCGCGAAAGCGAAGGUAAUUCCCGAUGGUCCCGCAAGGGUAAAGUCGCAAGACGCUUUGGGAGCGGCCUAGGUCCUAUCAGCUUGUUGGUGAGGUAAGAGCUCACCAAGGCUACGACGGGUAGGGGAUGUGAGAGCAUGUUCCCCAACGACGAGACUGAGACACGGCUCGUACUCCUACGGGAGGCAGCAGUCGAGAAUAUUCCACAAUGGGCGAAAGCCUGAUGGAGCGACACCGCGUGCAGGAUGAAGGGCUUCGGUCCGUAAACUGCUUUUCAUGGGGAAAAACUACGGUGAUGGUACCCAUGGAAUAAGGGGCUGCAAACCUCGUGCCAGCAGCCGCGGUAAUACGAGGGCCCCGAGCGUUAUCCGGAUUUAUUGGGCGUAAAGAGCGCGUAGGGGGCUUAUCGCAUCUUCGGUUAAAUACCACUGCUCAACGGUGGCACCGCCGAAGAGAUGGACAAGCUAGAGGAUGCCAGAGGUUAACGGAACGCAUGGUGUAGGGGUGAAAUCCGUUGAUAUCAUGCGGAACACCGAAGGCGAAGGCAGUUAACUGGGGCACUCCUGACCCUCAGUGCGCGAAAGCGUGGGGAGCAAAAAGGAUUAGAUACCCUUGUAGUCCACGCCCUAAACGAUGCAGACUAGCUGUUUCGAGUAUCGACCCUCGGAGUGGCGUAGCUAACGCGUUAAGUCUGCCGCCUGGGAAGUACGGCCGCAAGGCUAAAACUCAAAGGAAUAGACGGGGACCCGCACAAGCGGUGGAACAUGAGGUUUAAUUCGACGACAAGCGAGGAACCUUACCCGGGCUUGAAAUUCUCACGAAAGCUUUCCGAAAGGAAAGCCCUCUCUCAAGGACGUGAGGACAGGUGCUGCAUGGUUGUCGUCAGCAUGUGACUUGAGUCGCUCCCUUAAAUGGGGUAACAUGCGCAACCCCUAUCCGUAGUUACAAGUGUCUACGGAGACUGCCCAGCCCAAUGCGCACGAGGUGCGCAGUAACUAGUCGCUAUUUAUUAGCCACUAGAAACUGCUCGCUUCGCGAGUAUCGGGCUGGGAGGAAGGCGGGGAUGACGUCAAAUCAGCAUGGCCCUUUGAUGUCCGGGGCUACACUCAUGUUACAAUGGCCGCUACAGAGGGUUGCCAAGCCGAAAGGUGGAGCUAAUCCCAAAAAAGUGGUCUCAGUUCGGAUUGGGGGCUGCAACUCGCCCCCAUGAAGCCGGAAUCGCUAGUAAUCGCGCAUCAGCUACGGCGCGGUGAAUACGUUCUCGGGUCCUGUACUCACUGCCCGUCAACUCAGGGAAGCCGGGAGCUAGAGAAGCCUCACGCAGUGGGGUCAUCUAGAAUUCGGUGACAAGGAGUAAGUCGUAACAAGGCACGGGUAGCGGAAGCUGC
RNAcentral lists this ribosomal RNA (1571 nucleotides) under Candidatus Harrisonbacteria bacterium CG10_big_fil_rev_8_21_14_0_10_40_38. Its description in RNAcentral is "bacterial SSU rRNA". It matches the Rfam family "Bacterial small subunit ribosomal RNA". Lineage: Bacteria; Candidatus Harrisoniibacteriota. The record is from RNAcentral.